Molecule: ribosomal RNA, 471 nt
Filed under: uncultured bacterium
Lineage: Bacteria
Description: bacterial SSU rRNA
Rfam family: Bacterial small subunit ribosomal RNA
Source: RNAcentral
UGGGGAAUUGUUCGCAAUGGGCGCAAGCCUGACGACGCAACGCCGCGUGGAGGAUGAAGGUUUUCGGAUCGUAAACUCCUGUUGCCCGGGACGAAUAGCUUCGACCUAACACGUCGGAGUAUGACGGUACCGGGUGAGGAAGCCCCGGCUAACUCUGUGCCAGCAGCCGCGGUAAUACAGAGGGGGCAAGCGUUGUUCGGAAUUACUGGGCGUAAAGCGCGUGUAGACGGCUCUUCAAGUCAGGCGUGAAAGCCCCAGGCUCAACCUGGGAAAUGCGUUUGAUACUGUCGAGCUAGAGUGUGGAAGGGGCGAUUGGAAUUCCGUGUGUAGCGGUGAAAUGCGUAGAUAUACGGAGGAACACCAGAGGCGAAGGCGGAUCGCUGGGCCAACACUGACGCUGAGACGCGAAAGCUAGGGUAGCAAACGGGAUUAGAUACCCUUGUAGUCCCUGAGCGGGCUGGCAAGGCGCAU